Molecule: long non-coding RNA, 222 nt
Filed under: Ovis aries (sheep)
Lineage: Eukaryota; Metazoa; Chordata; Mammalia; Artiodactyla; Bovidae
Description: lncRNA (ENSOARG00000025815.1)
Source: RNAcentral
GAAAGCAUUCAAAACAGUGCUUGGAAUUGCUGCCAUUUAUCCUGCCUACACAUGAGAGGAAGAGUAGCCAGAGGAAGGAAAGUCCUCAAGAGACGAUUCUUAAAGAGUGCGGCAGAGUCCCAGGCAUAUUCUUGCUGUGCUGGAAUCUGCUGCACACAAUAGGUGAUAGUUUAAUUGAGUACUUUCCAUCUUACAAAUAAAGUCAUCUUGAUUCAGAAUUGG